Long non-coding RNA from Zea mays, 541 nucleotides. RefSeq lists it as uncharacterized. The record is from RefSeq and is a predicted model, not a curated record. NCBI's taxonomy places the organism in Eukaryota, Viridiplantae, Streptophyta, Magnoliopsida, Poales, Poaceae. The transcript has 3 exons.
GCAACUUUUCCUUUAUGUAGCCAUCCAUUUUGCCUUCUUGCUCCUUGGUUUUUCUUGUUGCAUUCUGGUUUGAAUACGUUUAAUAUUUUUGUCCACUUCUAUAAUAUAGCUUUCAAAUAGCGCUGAAGGUGGUUCUCUACUCAAAGAUAUUCCUGCUACUAAGGAUGGAAGGGUUGAUUGGUCACAGGAUUUCUUCUGCAAACCAGCAUUUCUGACAGUGUCUGGACAGCUUAAUGGUGAAACAUAUGCUUCAGCUCUAUCUGAUAUUUACACAUUUGGUCCAACGUUUAGGGCUGAAAAUUCAAACACUUCAAGGCAUCUGGCUGAAUUUUGGGUAUUUGAAAUCCUCAAACCUCUAUCUUUAGAAUCCGACAUAAACACUGAAUUCACAUCUUUUGCUGUUUUAUUGUUGUGGGUCAAGAUGAUUGAACCUGAGCUUGCCUUUGUGGAUCUGAACGAUGACAUGGCUUGUGCAACUGCAUAUCUCCAGUAUGUAGUAGGUGCCUUCCUCUAUCAUUUUAAAAUAUUUUGUGUAGACCAA